UGCAGGUGAGUCUACGUAUCAGAGGUUCCACGGACCUCAAGGUGCUGUUCCCCAUUGUGCUGUGUAAUAUUCCUGUUUACGCUCCCCAGCCUCCACCUCCAUAUCAGUAGCAGUAGUACUAGGAUCACGUUGCCCCUAGACUCAGUUCAGUGUUUUUCUACCUAAUGGUUAAGGUUAGGAUUUAGACAGGGUAAGCCUCGCUUAGAUACGAAGGGCAACUUGUACCUAGUUAUAUUAGAGACAUGCAUAGUGUCUCACAACAUCCGUAACCAAAGUUACAUCUGGGAAUAUGAGGGUUACAGGGAACCAUUCUUCUGGUGAGCUGGUUUUUGUGUCACUGAUUAUUUGGACAAAUCAUGAUUUCGCCGGGUUGGUCUAAACCUGGCAUCUUUAGAAUUUUGGAAAGGGAGGGGUUAAUUUAGGCCCAUAGAUGGCUAAAAGGAUUUCAGAGGAGGGCAUGUGGACUUUGCCACUCACAUUAGGCCAAACAUCUCAACAUGCCCCCCCCCCCCCAGUACCAUGUCCAGUAGCUGGCCAGAGGCCCACGUUCACUCUAGAUUUGGUUCUGGAUUCUGAGAUUAGACACUGACAAACCCCUUUUAAGAUGGGUUUCCAAUUCUACAAUUUCUACAUGUUUAUCACCAUAAGAAUUGUUAGAGCAAGUUUUGUCAUCGACCACCAUGUCAAAUCCUUCCUUCAUAUAUUGUCUCUUAUCACUAUCUAUGGAAGUCUUGUGCUGUUUCUGCUCACUAUUGCCAUAACUGUUCAGAAUUCAUUACUUUUUUUAAGACAGACAUUUCAGAGUCUAUAAUUCACCUCCAUCUAAGUCAUAAGAUGAGGAACUAUUGGGCAAUGUUAUUGCUAAGAGGACUAACUCAAUACUACAGCUGAUAAAGAAGAAGGCUUGAUAGACAACUAAACUUGCUCUAACAAAUCUUACAAAACAAAUUGUAGGAUUUAUGUUAAAUGCCUCUUAAAAAGGUUGAUUUGCAAUAGUUCUCAGGGUUGUACCAAAUACGGUACCAGAUUUUCUAAUAUUUUAUGCAUGAACUUUUAAAAGGUGUUUGUUCCAUUAAUAUUUCUGUUCCAUGUUUUUAUAGCCAUAUAGUUUUAUUUACAGUUUGUGUGUGUGUGUACAUUUCAUACUACUUACAUACAUGUAAUGAUGCCUUGCCAUCCUUCAGUGUUUGAGGUGACAGACGGACAGUGCUUUAAAUAUCUAAUGGUGCAGUCGUCGUUCAUCUCUUGCCAGGUCAUGUUACUUAGCAUUUCUUUCAAGGUGCUUGAGUGAUUGUUAACAUAAGAUAAUUGGGCUUUGCGACUGUGUUUACUCAUGUUUGAUCAAUCACUCCGUGGUGUAUGUCUGUCUGUCUCAUCCAACUUGUCUUUUUUAUCAUGGUUCAUUUAAGGAUUCGAUUUGUUAUUCAUGGUCAACAACAUUGUUUUGCCCCAUUCAUUUGGAAAAAUAGAGUAUUCAGGAUACUUGUGAUUCAAUCACUAAUUCAUUUGUACGUCUGUUUUAAAAGUACACUGUAAUGCUACUACACUGUCCUCUUGCUGUGGUCUGAAUAACAAAACCAUGUUUUUACACUCCUAGUUGUAUGAGCGUAAUCCAACAGAAAGUCUGAAACAUUUGACAUUUAUAUGGUUGAGCUUACUAUAUGAAGAACCAGUCAAAUUCACGGACAAUAAUAUAUUUUUCAUAUGAAUUGUAUUGAUAUGUGUUUGUGUAAACUAUAUAUUGUAUUUCUGUUGAUGUUAUAAGUGUUUUUAUGUCUGUUUUAACACUCCCAAGUUCAUCCAUUGAGGACAUCUACUCAUUUUAAACUCUUUCAAACUCGCUUGAAGAGUUCAGUACUGCCAUUAAAAGAUGUGCACAACCCAUUGUUUUGAAGAUGUAUUGGUGGUAAAUGCAUUAUGUUGUAUUGAACGUGGACAUUUUUUUUUUCAUUUGAUUUCAAAUGUCAAAACUGGCCUUGUUUGUGACGUAGUCCUUGUCAUUGAGUUCCCUUGAACCUUCUUAAUGAAGACAGGGAAGUGCACAUCUCUAGACUCUGUAUUGCCAAAAAUGUAUCAUUGUAAUCUCACAAUAGAAACAUGUUGAAGUGUGUGUAUACAUACAUGUUUUAACCACAAUACCUUUUAACAAUGUACUGUAUAUUUUGUUGUGUUUGUCAAACUGAGUAUCAAGGUAGCACUUUAGGAAAGCCCACUGAUAAACUUUAAGUAGAUCUUCACAGAUUGGCCACCUGUAGAAUUUGACAUUUUGUAAGUACUGUUUGAAGGAUACUACUUAUAUGCCAUGAAUGUUAUUGACCUGUAAUAAACACUAACUUCCAUUUGAC
Molecule: long non-coding RNA, 2345 nt
Filed under: Salmo salar (Atlantic salmon)
Lineage: Eukaryota; Metazoa; Chordata; Actinopteri; Salmoniformes; Salmonidae
Description: lncRNA (ENSSSAG00000110619.1)
Source: RNAcentral